Molecule: long non-coding RNA, 8162 nt
Organism: Bombyx mori (domestic silkworm)
Lineage: Eukaryota; Metazoa; Arthropoda; Insecta; Lepidoptera; Bombycidae
Exons: 2
Source: RefSeq, a predicted model, not a curated record
AGCGUGCGCCGCCGCGCCGCCCGUGUGCCGCCCCGCGCCGCCGCCGCCGCCGCCGCCGCCCGCGCACUGCGGCAGUGUCAGUUCAAGUCAGUUGCGGGUGGGAAGUGACCUCAGUUAGUUGGAUGUUGUUGUUUGUUUUGGACGCGGUAAGCCUACAUUGUUAAUAAUAUUACAUAUAUUCACACGAGAAUACUGUGAGACGACGAAUUAAUAUUGAUUAUGCAUACAUUUUCCAGUACACAUAUCACAAUCGCCCGUUAUCAUAAAAAACGUAAAAUAUUCAAACAUCAGAAAUUGUGACAUAAAAAUAAAAAUCGCGAAAUUAAACCGUAAAAGUAAUUUCGAUACCCGCCUACACAGCACAAGUAGCAGACCCGAUAAUUAUAACAACAUUAACGAACUUUUUUCUUUGCAAUUGAUUUAAAACCAAUUGAAAUGUAUUUGUAUUCAUUUCCCGUAUUUUUGGUCGAGCACUUUGUCUAUAACUUCGACAAACUUGAGACCUAUUUUCAUUUUUACAGAUUUCUUUUUAAUUUUCUAAAUAGAUAGACAGAAUUUAAAAUUAAACUAAGAUUUGAACAGUUUACGCACCUAAUACCUAACAUGUUUGGCACCACUUCUCAAGUGAUAAUAAUUGUUAAUUGUAUUGUGAUAUGCAAAAUUAUCAACCAGUGUUCAUAAUGAGGAGGAAAAAGCACUAAUUUAGUUCAUUAAACUCUUCACGCAGUCCACAUGACGUGCAUGACGCGCGACUCCGCGAAAUGUCUCCGCACAUACAGAACAAACUGACUGUAUAUACUGACGUGUACACAACCGACACUCGCACGAGGAGCCGAGGAGCCCGGCCGCACUCGUUCGAUUCCCGUCACAGAGCCCAUCGUUUGCUCUGCCCGCAUCUCAGUUUGAACGUGGUCCGGCGCGGUGGCCGCUCUCAAUGAAGCCGCAUUCUCCCGACUCUGACAACUGUGACGUCACGUUUUUAUUUCCAUCAUGAAUCACCAGCACUGGUGACGCCCUCUCCACGACAUCCAGACAAGACAAUAUGGAGCGAUUCAUUGCUUAAUUAUUGCUCGUUGUUUAAUAUCAUUUACUUUGUCGGUUUUAUUUAUUUAUUUAUAACUUUAUAUACUUGACAGUAUAAAGGCGGACUUAAUGUCAUAGGCAUUCUCUGACAAUGUACAGGUUUUAAUGUUUUGUAUUCAGUAAACGAUAAACGACGACGGCUCCGUAUAUCUUCUUACUUUGUGUAGUUCGUCUACUUAGUUCUCGUUCUAAUAGCCCACUCAAAUCGAGCUAAAUAAUGAACUAUAUUAUUGACGAUUGUGGGUACGAAAAUUCCGCAGUCGGCACUCCUAUAGUGAGUGAUAUAAUUGCAGACAAUCAAUUGAAUGUUAUACCAAACGACAAGGAGUCAUUGUCUGAUCUAAAUGUAAAGAAGAGUCAUUGUGAAACUGUCAAUGAACAAAUAAAAUGUACGCUAGUGUAUGUACGGAGGGCGUCGCAGAUAAAGCGGGGUGGCAACUCGACGCACGAUAUCGAAGUUCAAAAGUUAAAGAUGAGUAUUAUAAAGAGCGACCGAUAACAGACCGGCUGCCUCGCGCGCUGCUCGCUGCGGCCUCGCGGACACGCCGCGGACCACCACCACCACCACCGGGCCGCCUCCUCAUGCGCACGCGGCACAUGUUCAUCAGCCGUAAUUGAUUUAAUUGAUGAUUCUUAUUUGCCCCACUGGUAUCAAAACGAAUGAAAUAAUUGUACCGACAUAACUACGUAAUAAUGAAUGUCGUGGAAAAAUACAGUUAAAUAUUCGAUUAUAAAUUAUUAAUGUCAGACUGUUGAAUAACUGCUUCUAUUUUUAGACCACUCUAAGUAAGUUAAGAAGCUGUUACCGCUUUGUCGCUGUGCUAUGAACAGUACGCUUUUAUAUAACUCAUUCUAUUAGUUAUUAGAGUUAACGAGUUGACUCCUUUGACGAGAGCUAAUCACAAUAAUAGAUCAUAGCGAUUUGUAGUUGUAUGCAACAACAAUUUUUUGUAUUAAAAGGAUAACGACAAGAAAAAGUGUUAAAUAGGUAUAAAAGAGGCUCUAAGAUCGACUUGGAGCCUCUCAGACUCUCAGUGCAGAGAGGCGCGGGCGCGGCGGCAGGAGAUGAGCGGUCAUUCCUCCGCCGGCCACAUGUGCCCCGCCCGCCACGUGCGCCGCCCGGGAUCAACCCUCCCCCACAUAUUGUAAACUGGCGUAACAUCUGUCCACGGAUUACAAUUGCCUUCUGUAUUAAAUAGGUCACUUUCUGUUUCAUCUUAACAAUAUGAAAGUAUUGGUGUCGGUUGAGUUAAAUAUUCAAGAACCUUACAAUUUAUUUUAUUAGUGACGUGUAGUAUGUAUGCAUUGAUUGCAUUACAAAACACAAGUAACAAAACUCGCCGAGAUGAAGUCAGGGCAGCGAUUACAUCAACACGAGUGUGUGAAUUGAUCGAUUAAAUCAGGAACUGGCUAAUUAUCGAGCGACUGGGAUUACAUCUCGUUGACUCACGACGUGACUGUACUACACACACGAGGCGUUCGUCGCCGAGUUCAGAUCAAACUUAUAAAUUGCCAUACGGAUCCGAUCGUAGUUCGGUGCUCAACAGACAUAACAAUUGAAAAGACACUGACGUAAUAGAAAUAAACGUGUGAGUUAGAGUGUGAGUUAGAGUGUGCGUGUGCGUGUGCGUGAUGCCGAGCGCGGAUGCUGACAAUUGAACAAUUAUCCGUUCGACCGCCACACGCACAUACCUGGCGCACUGGCCGGUAUUGCCGACGUCAAAAUGCGGGGGAACAUAUUCGCAUUUUUCAAAAAAAUAUGCUUCACUAUUCAGAACAGUGAAAAAGCUGAAUUCGGAUAAGAUUAUCGGUGUAUUUUCUAGAAAAAAUACAUAAAACGCCCCGUUUCCUUAGAAUCCUAGGUCACGGAGUCGGCCCUAAGCAGUUGCCCCGACGAGUGACGCGAAACUAAGGACUCGUGCAAGGAGACGCAAGGAUAGAUCCGCUGGUCAUUACAAUCGUUUUCUCAGAACCAGUGCCCUGCUCAUCUUAUGUUCUGAUGAUCCUCUUUUAAAUAUAACCCGAUUGUUUUUUAUUUUGAUCUAAGUUCUAAGUGUGAAUAUUCUGCGUAGUGGAAGUAUCUAUUUCUUUUCCUUGUUUAUUCGCUAAUAGCGUAAAGGGCCAUUGCAACUACACCCGGAGGGGUAGGUGAGCUCACCGGCUCAACCUAAAAGAAUUUGCUAACACUGGCCAUAGCAGGAGCCGUGCUUCGCAGAAUCUACCACCGGAUCGAAAUCGCGACCCAUUGAGAAGAUCCGGCGAGAAACUCAGUGGGUUGUGUCUGAGGGUUAAUUUCUUCGCCGAACCCUUCGUCACAAGCGACGGGUUCGACGAGAACGGUGACCGGCCAAAGGCCUGGGGGACCUAUAUUUAUUAAUAAGUCGAUUAGCAUCGAUGUGGUAGUGAUGACACAAGGCAGUUUGUCUACCGCUACGCCGACAUUUCUCCUACACUGCAUUUCUUGCGUACCGAUAUCUUAUCUAAAACAUUUACAAAUAAUAUGUAUAAACUAUAAACUAACAUUAUACAUAUAAAUAGUAAUUUAAAAUUAUGAAUAUGAAAGAUUGAAACCAUUGAUAUCCGACCUUAUGAAGAUAUUAUGCUAACAGAUUAAUAACGAAGCAUAUUACGAUUUUAUUGAACAUUUCGUACACUGAUGGGAAAAGUGUUAGAUUUUUGUGGUUAAGGUUCUGUCCCUCUUCCGUUCGGCUUAGUAAUGAACUUCCUUCCUCGCUGCUUGUCGAGCGCAAUGACGUCUUUCUUCAAACGAAAAUUGCGGAGAGUACUCGGCGGCAGGCAGCGGUGUGGAUGCGCCCCUGGCAUCGCUGACGUCCAUGUGCAACCGUAGACACUCAACAUGCGGGCCGUCGGCUCACCUCCUACAGGUGCAAUAAAAAACCUUGUAUUCUGUUCUGCGUUUAAGAAACAAUUUAUCACUUUAUAAAAUAGUGUUGGUGGGCCUUCAGAGACGAUAACAGUUUCCUUUUUUUUAUAUAAUUAUUUUGUUACUCUCUUUGGUUGCACAAUGGAGUGACCUAUUCACUAGGUGAAUAAUCUCCUUAAACAGUGAUAAAAAAAACAAUUUAAUUAAACCAGAUCUACAUUGGGCAGGCGUGAGCACAGGUCGAUGUUGCGACUGCACUGCUACCGUAUUAAUGUCAUUAUAGAAAGGCACUACUUUAUCGCUACAACAUUCUUUUUUCAAACGUGGAGUUGUAUUUAAUCUUGCUGUUAAGCGGGUUCCGUGGUGUAGUGGUUAUCACAUCUGCUUUACACGCAGAAGGCCGCCAGUUCGAUCCUGGCCGGAAUCAAUAUUUUUAUUAGCUCUGUCUAAAUUAUAUUUAUAAUCUAAUAAUAUCCAGACUAACACAAUUUACACGUUAUGUACACAUGAAAUAAUUUGUUACCUAAUUUUUUUAGUACUGACAGAUCGGACAGUCACGAUCUAUAAGUUUCCUAAUUCGAGAGAAGUGUUAUUGUUGAUAACCUUUUUUUAUUUAUUGCUUAGAAGGGUGGACGAGCUCACAGCCCACCUGGUGUUAAGUGGUUACUGGAGCCCUUAGACAUCCACAACGUAAAUGCGCCACCCACCUUGAGAUACAAGUUCUAAGGUCUCAAGUAUAGUUACAACAGCUGCCCCACCCUUCAAACCGAAACGCAUUACUGCUUCACGGCAGAAAUAGACAGGAUGGUGGUACCCACCCGCGCGGACUCACAAGAGGUCCUACCACCAGUAAUUAAGCAAAUUAUAAUUUUGCGGGUUUCAUUUUUAUAACACGAUGUUAUUCCUUCACCAUGGAAGUCAAUCGUGAACAUUUGUUGAGUACGUAUUUCAUUAGAAAAAUUGGUACCCGCCUGGGAUUCGAACACCGUUGCAUCGCUAUACACGAAUGCACCGGACGUCUUAUCCUUUAGGCCACCUAGCGUUAGAGCUGAAAGCGUAUAAUGCAAAGGUUAUUGGAUCUGAUGGAUCCGUAAGGACGUGUCUAGGGCGUCGACGAUGACUGGCUCCUGCGUGAUCAGGAUUCGGGGAGUAGUCAGCGGCGGCAACGAUAAGGCGAUUAUCAUGACGGCCAUUUGGCAAGGAGCUCUGAUGUAUUAUACCGGCACCAUACCACCAAGACUUUUAGAGGUCAGGUUACAUUUGGGACAUUACCUAAGUGCUAAGCCAGGGUUUAACCAAGAUGACGACCGUUUGCGAUUAUAAAAAUAAAUUAAUUUGUUAAUCGCAAGUGACAAAGCGGUUCGGAAUCCCUUCGUUGCUGUUUCUGUUCAGCCACACGAGGCAAACCUAGACGCGGCGGUCGCGCUGGAGAUCGUUCAGUUAUACUUUAGUUAUCUGUUAAAAAUGUAAACACUAUCAAAGCUGAAUAACUGAAUAUACAGUCUCAGUCAAAAAAGCGUCGGGAAUAGAUGAUUUUUUAUGUUUUUUUUGUUGUUUUUAGAUAUUUUUUCCUUAUUAAUGCACAAAACAAAUUACAACCGAAGAAAUUAUAAAUUUAAAUAUUUAAUAUAGCAAUCUGCAGUGCAAUUCAAAACAGGUGCAUACAGAAAAAUUAUAAAAACUGAAAAUAUGCCUAAAUACCUUGUGUGUAUAUAGGUACAUGUAUAUGCAUAUACACAUACGCUCGCAUACACACAACCGCACGCGCGCACACACUCAUACACAUAUGUAAGUUACUAUCUAAUUAAAGUAAAUCUAAUGUAUCAUUAGCUGGACAAUAUUAAUUAUUUGAGAAUAAAUUUAACUAAUUUACAAUAUUUAUACAAAGUAUUUUCAGAUAUAUCAAGAUUAGUGUUGUUACUUGCCAACUCAUUAUAAUGUCGUGCCAUUCUAACAAUGGGAUUAAAGUAUGAGAUGUUGUUUUUGUGAACUUCAAGUGCAAGAAGAUUAGUGCAAUGCGAUCUACACGCAGUUUAACUGGUAUUAAAAGAUAUUUGCGAAAUUAAGUCACUUGAGUUUAUUAAAAAAUGUAUAAUUUUGUACAAAUAAAGUAAAUCAAAGUAUUUACGACGAAUAGAUAAAGAUUCCGUUUUGAAUUGGGCUAGUCUAUGUUCAUAAUUAAGAUUAUUUCGACCUAGUUUCAAACGGUAAGCUAAUAUCCUGAGAAAUUUUUUCUGCACUCUUUUAUUGUCAUCUAUAUGAACUUUAUAAUACGGAGACCAUAUUGGUGUUGCGUAUUCCAAGAGACUUCUCACUAGUGAAAAAAAUAAGUAUAAUACCGAAUGAGGAUUUUUGAAGGCUUUGCUUGAUCUGAGAACGAAACCUAAAAGUUGAUUAGCUUUAAUAGUUAAUGUAUUGAUAAUGUGAACGGAAUAAAAGUUUGUCAUCAAAGAUAAUACCGAAAUCUUUAGCAACAACGGACCUGUUUAAGACACUAUAAUUAAUAAAAUAAUUAUCAUUGAUUAUCGUUUAUUUAUAAAUAAAAUAUCAAAAAAAUUGCUAUUAUUUAAAAAUAUAUGAUUAGAAUUACAUACACCAUUUAACUAAUGUAUCUAAGUUUUGCUGCAAAAGAUUGUCACAACUGUUUUCCAUUGUGGCGCGGGGUUUGAAUUGCGUCUGUUAUUUUAAUUAAAAACAGUAUGAUUUUUAAUUAUAUGUAAAGAAAACCCUAAAAACUCUUUAGUUUUAAGAAAGGAUUUUUCUUAGACGGAUUCACUCACCUGUCUGUCAUUCAGUGAAGAGAUAAGUACAGUUUUGCAUAAUAUAAUAAUAUUGUUGAAAAAAUUCAUUUAAAAAGAGAUUAAGAAGGGCUUUAAAUAUUGUUUUCUUAUUAUAUUAGAGAAACGCAAUUAAGUAUUUUAUUGUUAAUUCAUUCUGGAGUAUUCCAUAUAAUUAUAUCCAUAUAUAUUAUAUCUAGAUCUAUCUAUAUCAUCUAAUCUAAGUCUAUAAUUUUGCAUCACCCCUGGAAUGUUAUAUUUGGAGUUACAGAAAUGUUACAGAGAUUUUAUAAAAAACACGUACAUAUGAGUGGUACAAAGCGUUCAAAAGCGGUCCAUAUGUAAUGGAAGAAUUGCCUCACUCUGGCAGGCCAUCAACGUCUGCAACUGAAGUUAAAACAUCGCAAAAGUGAAAGAAACAGUGAUUGAAUAUCCUGAUUCAAGUUUGAAAGACAGCCGCCGAAUUGUCUGUGUCUCACCAGUCGAUCCGUACCAUUUUAAAUAAUCACUUGGCUAUGAACCAUGUUGUUGCUUAGUGCCGCCGGUUAGUCCCAAAAAGCCUAAAUUUGUCGCUAAAAACUCAUAAAUCACAUAAGAGUCGCUGCAGAAACGCUAGAACGUGUCAAUUCCGAUCCAACAUUCAUGAAGCGCAACGUUACUGUUGGGUGGUGACGAGGCGUGUGUGUACGAGAUUGACACGCUAGCUACUAAGGACAACAAGCUUCGGAGUGGCGCCUUCCAAACUGAACCGAAACCGAAAAAACCACACCAAGAUCGAUCAAAAGUCAAAGUCAUGUUGACCGUUUUCUUCGACUGUCGCGGAGUUGUGCACUCGAAAUUGUUGCCGGAAGAUCAAACGAUAAAUAAAGAAUAUUAAUUAAGGGUUAUGCGGCGAUUAAGAGAACAAAUUCGACGAAUAAGGCCAUCUGUGAAAAGAAAUCUCUUGGAUUUUUCACCACGAUAAUACGCCUUCACACAAUACCAUCAUUUGAACGAAUUCUUGCCAAAAAACUCAAGAAAUAGCAUCGAGCAACCACCUUAUUCACCAAAUAUGGCUCCAUCCGACUUCUUUCUUUUUCCUAAAUACAUUCAUUCAUUUAUUUAUUGUCAUUGAAGGUACAAUAUGUAAGAUAUUAUAUAUAAUAUAUAUAUAUAGGUAUAUAAGAUAUAUAAGUCAAUGGAGCUGGGUCGCAAAUUUGUUAAGCUUUUUGAUGUUAAAAUUACAAUAUGGACAAAUUCAACAACAUCACAGAGUUAAGACCUAGUGGUUUUUGUUGCUAUAUAAAUAAGUACCUAAGUACGAGGAGGGAUCAAAAAGUAGUGAGAACGACCUACCCCAUGGUAAGAAAAAAAAUACUGGCAGGCAUAGCUCGGAUACAUAUUUGUAAUAUUAAUAAAGUAAAAAAUCUUGGAUUCUC